Molecule: ribosomal RNA, 211 nt
Filed under: uncultured bacterium
Lineage: Bacteria
Description: partial 16S ribosomal RNA
Rfam family: Bacterial small subunit ribosomal RNA
Source: RNAcentral
AGUUCGGAUUGAAGGCUGAAAUUCGCCUUCAUGAAGCUGGAAUUGCUAGUAAUGGCAGGUCAGCAUACUGCCGUGAAUACGUUCCCGGGCCUUGUACACACCGCCCGUCACACCAUGAGAGUUGGAAAUACCCGAAGCCUGUGAGCUAACUGUAAAGAGGCAGCAGUCGAAGGUAGAGCCAAUGAUUGGGGUGAAGUCGUAACAAGGUACC